Molecule: long non-coding RNA, 119 nt
Organism: Octopus sinensis (East Asian common octopus)
Lineage: Eukaryota; Metazoa; Mollusca; Cephalopoda; Octopoda; Octopodidae
Exons: 3
Source: RefSeq, a predicted model, not a curated record
AAUAGGAAAUGACAGUGAUGUAGUUCUCCUGAUACAGGGUGACCUCUAGAGAUAACUGAGGAACUCCACUGUCCAUGAUCUCCCUGAACACCAAGGGCAAGUGGCCUCUCCAAUCCCCU